UCUCUCUUCACUAUAUGUCUACAUCUUAUUAGUAGUAUUAGGGUUGUUGGUAGGCUUCACUAUUAAAUGAUAAACAAAUUUUAUUGUUACAUACAUUUUUAGUUUGAUAAUCCAAUUUUAAAUUUGCCAUCAAAGAUGGUGUGGGAUACGCGCCUUGCCCUUCAUGCCCAGUUCGACCCAAACACAAGAUAAAUAAGUCAAAACGGCCCACCAAAAGAAAGGCCCAUCAGAAAAUCGACCCAUUAGAUCGACCGGCUCGGCCCAGAUGUAAGUUGCUCGGUCCAAC
This is a long non-coding RNA of Arabidopsis thaliana (thale cress), 286 nucleotides long. RefSeq annotates it as other RNA. The record is from RefSeq. Lineage: Eukaryota; Viridiplantae; Streptophyta; Magnoliopsida; Brassicales; Brassicaceae. The transcript has a single exon.